CAGUCGCCGCGGUAAUACGGAGGGUGCAAGCGUUACUCGGAAUUACUGGGCGUAAAGCGUGCGUAGGUGGUGGUUUAAGUCCGUUGUGAAAGCCCUGGGCUCAACCUGGGAAUUGCGGUGGAUACUGGAUCACUAGAGUGUGGUAGAGGAUAGUGGAAUUUCCGGUGUAGCAGUGAAAUGCGUAGAGAUCGGAAGGAACAUCUGUGGCGAAGGCGACUAUCUGGGCCAACACUGACACUGAGGCACGAAAGCGUGGGGAGCAAACAGGAUUAGAUACCCGUGUAGUCCCUGUCUCUUAUAC
RNAcentral lists this ribosomal RNA (301 nucleotides) under uncultured bacterium. Its description in RNAcentral is "partial 16S ribosomal RNA". It matches the Rfam family "Bacterial small subunit ribosomal RNA", at positions 509 to 807 of the family's 1533-position model. The record is from RNAcentral.